RNAcentral lists this long non-coding RNA (743 nucleotides) under Triticum aestivum (bread wheat). RNAcentral's name for it is "long non-coding RNA (TAES_LNC022725)". Lineage: Eukaryota; Viridiplantae; Streptophyta; Magnoliopsida; Poales; Poaceae. The record is from RNAcentral.
AACAGCCAGCUUCUAGGAUAUAUUUGAAAGAACGGUUCUUUUUCAGAAAAUACUUGUGUGAUUUCAGGUACAAGACACACAUGACCCCAAAGAACAGUUUAUAACGUUCUUAUUACUCUGAAAACACACCAAUGUUCUUUCUUUAUCUUCAAUACUACCACACACCUUACAACAUUGAUUGCUUUACAACAAGUCAAAAAUCCAAACACCAAACAGAAACAGAAUACUUGGUAACAACUGAUCUUUUUAUUGUCUUCAUCAAUACGAUGAGUCGGCAGACUUGGAGCUCCCUCCAACUCAAUCAGCUAUAUCUCAGCACCCAGUACUGCUGUCAACAACGGAGUAACAUCAUCAGUAUUGCAAAAAAGAAUAGAUGAACUAAUGAGUUAUCUUGUUCUGGCUGAGCAAUGCAUGUGCAAUGACGACAAGUUCAUGUAGGUUCCAUGAGAAAUUCUUGCAGUGCAUAUACAUGAAAAAUGUUAUACAGGACCUGACAGCGUCAGAUUAGGUACUAUAUGUGAUUAUCUUGGUGUUGAUAUAUUGGUUUGUUUCUUGUCAGCCAUGCACAUAUGUAUAUUCUCAGUACAGAAAGCCUGUCCCAAAGGAAAACGUAUGCUUGUCAAUAGAUGUCUCAGAUGUGUCCUAACUACCAAGUACAGAGUUAUAUCCUAUUCCAAACUUGCAAUUAUCAAAGGAUACUGAGGAAUAUUUUGCUCACAAGUGCAAGUGUCUGAUCGCCUUCU